RNAcentral lists this ribosomal RNA (263 nucleotides) under uncultured Atopobium sp. RNAcentral describes it as "partial 16S ribosomal RNA". It matches the Rfam family "Bacterial small subunit ribosomal RNA", at positions 92 to 354 of the family's 1533-position model. The record is from RNAcentral. Lineage: Bacteria; Bacillati; Actinomycetota; Coriobacteriia; Coriobacteriales; Atopobiaceae.
AAAGUGGCGAACGGCUGAGUAACACGUGGGCAACCUGCCCUUUGCACUGGGAUAGCCUCGGGAAACCGAGGUUAAUACCGGAUACUCCAUAUUUGUCGCAUGGCGAAUAUGGAAAGCUCCGGCGGCAAAGGAUGGGCCCGCGGCCUGUUAGCUAGUUGGUGGGGUAGUGGCCUACCAAGGCAAUGAUGGGUAGCCGGGUUGAGAGACCGACCGGCCAGAUUGGGACUGAGACACGGCCCAGACUCCUACGGGAGGCAGCAGAC